RNAcentral lists this ribosomal RNA (600 nucleotides) under uncultured bacterium. RNAcentral describes it as "bacterial SSU rRNA". It matches the Rfam family "Bacterial small subunit ribosomal RNA", at positions 488 to 1089 of the family's 1533-position model. The record is from RNAcentral.
CCGCAGGCUAACUCUGUGCCAGCAGCCGCGGUAAUACAGAGGGUGCGAGCGUUAAUCGGAUUUACUGGGCGUAAAGCGUGCGUAGGCGGCUUUUUAAGUCGGAUGUGAAAUCCCCGAGCUUAACUUGGGAAUUGCAUUCGAUACUGGGAAGCUAGAGUAUGGGAGAGGAUGGUAGAAUUCCAAGUGUAGCGGUGAAAUGCGUAGAGAUCUGGAGGAAUACCGAUGGCGAAGGCAGCCAUCUGGCCUAAUACUGACGCUGAGGUACGAAAGCAUGGGGAGCAAACAGGAUUAGAUACCCUGGUAGUCCAUGCCGUAAACGAUGUCUACUAGCCGUUGGGGCCUUUGAGGCUUUAAUGGCGCAGCUAACGCGAUAAGUAGACCGCCUGGGGAGUACGGUCGCAAGACUAAAACUCAAAUGAAUUGACGGGGGCCCGCACAAGCGGUGGAGCAUGUGGUUUAAUUCGAUGCAACGCGAAGAACCUUACCUGGCCUUGACAUACUAGAAACUUUCCAGAGAUGGAUUGGUGCCUUCGGGAAUCUAGAUACAGGUGCUGCAUGGCUGUCGUCAGCUCGUGUCGUGAGAUGUCGGGUUAAGUUCCG